UUUCUACUCCCUCCGUCCAAAAAUACUUGUCAUCAAAAUGGAUAAAAAGAGAUGUAUCUAAAACUAAAAUACGUCUAGAUACAUUUCCUUUUAUCCAUUUUGAUGACAAGUAUUUCCGGAUGGAGGGAGUAUUUG
Non-coding RNA from Triticum aestivum (bread wheat), 135 nucleotides. The record is from Rfam. Lineage: Eukaryota; Viridiplantae; Streptophyta; Magnoliopsida; Poales; Poaceae.